Molecule: long non-coding RNA, 283 nt
Filed under: Micromonas commoda
Lineage: Eukaryota; Viridiplantae; Chlorophyta; Mamiellophyceae; Mamiellales; Mamiellaceae
Description: long non-coding RNA (MCOM_LNC000026)
Source: RNAcentral
AAACAUUCUAUGCUGUGUGGAUACUUAACUGUCUUACAGUCCAUACCUCGUCAUCUAAUAAAUCCGAAAGCGCUGAAGGGGAUGGUAAUUUGUCUUGCAGGCUCAGCCGUUCUGAGCUCUGGCGCACGCUUAUUAGACUGGAGAAUGCUAGAAGUGGAGGACAGACGACCAUGGGCAUUUGCCAUUUGAUUUCUCGCAUCUGUUCUUACCUUCACUUCCGCAGGGUUGGUUGGUUGCCGAAAUCAGGCCUGCAGUAUGGUUCUGACUUCGUGCUUUACUACUG